This 467-nucleotide ribosomal RNA is filed under the name uncultured bacterium. RNAcentral describes it as "partial 16S ribosomal RNA". It matches the Rfam family "Bacterial small subunit ribosomal RNA", at positions 28 to 506 of the family's 1533-position model. The record is from RNAcentral.
GACGAACGCUGGCGGGGUGCUUAACACAUGCAAGUCGAACGGAAAGGCCCUGCUUUUGUGGGGUGCUCGAGUGGCGAACGGGUGAGUAACACGUGAGUAACCUGCCCUUGACUUUGGGAUAACUUCAGGAAACUGGGGCUAAUACCGGAUAGGAGCUCCUGCUGCAUGGUGGGGGUUGGAAAGUUUCGGCGGUUGGGGAUGGACUCGCGGCUUAUCAGCUUGUUGGUGGGGUAGUGGCUUACCAAGGCUUUGACGGGUAGCCGGCCUGAGAGGGUGACCGGCCACAUUGGGACUGAGAUACGGCCCAGACUCCUACGGGAGGCAGCAGUGGGGAAUAUUGCACAAUGGGCGGAAGCCUGAUGCAGCAACGCCGCGUGCGGGAUGACGGCCUUCGGGUUGUAAACCGCUUUCGCCUGUGACGAAGCGUGAGUGACGGUAAUGGGUAAAGAAGCACCGGCUAACUACGU